GAGUUUUUGCAGAUUUUCAAAUAAAACUCAGAGAUUCCUUGUAUGACUCUCUAAAUCUCUCUUUUGUGGUAUUUCUGGAUCCUUACCAAGGCAGUGAUGGUAUAUGCCUUUUCUCAAGAUAUAUGGUAUUUGUGGUAUAAGGCAUAGUGACAUUGCCUUCUCUCUCACCCUACUCUAAUAAGGCUUUAAUAUCUGGAGCUCAUAGGUGGGAGACAGCUAAUACAUACUUACAAGACAUUUAUUGCAUAGUCAAACCAUGGAUCCAGAGAAACAAGUCAAUAAGUCAAAUCAAGAUGUGCAUGUGUGGCGAAUGAAUGGUGUAUGGUGAUGAUGGUGAUAACAAUGGUGGAAGUCUAAUUCUACUUUUGCUCUUUUGAGGGGAUACAUACCUUUCUUGCUUUUUGAAACUUUAUGAGGAGAAUGAGAUGCUCUAUCUUUCAUUUUUCUUUCCUCUCAGGUGGGUAUCCUGUACCCCUAAUUCUACUGUCGGACACUUGUCCAUUUUUACCUCUCGUCUCACUCUUUUUUUUUCUUUCGAGGUUCCGGGCACUUGCCCCUUUUUAUUUCCUCGUAUAUAUAUAUAUAUUUUUCUCUCCUUCCCUUUUUUUAGAGCACUCAUCUCAUGAGAUAAUAUAGCAUGUGGUAGUAACAAGAUAACUUGAGCAUUUAUUUCACAAGGAAAAAAUAAAAAAUAUUUUUUGGUUAUUCUCUCCCGGAUUAGGAGUAAAAUAUUUUUGGGUGGUUCUGGAGAUGGAAACGAGUAGAUAUAUGUGGAUGGUACUUCCGGAGUAGAAGCAGCAUGUAUGAGUGAACGUGCAAGUGAAUCUUGAUUUUAACCACAUGACAAGCUCCUAAGGGUCCCUGACCACACUCAAUGCUCAUAAGCAGUAAAUAGUAAAUGUGUGGCUCAAAGUCUAGCAAGCAUGUAUAUAUGGCUGUGGUAGGAAUUUAAACUUUCAUCAUACAGGAACUCAUCAUGCAAUAUUUUAAAUAUUUUUCAAAGAUAAAAUUCUCCAGAAUUCUAGCAUCUCUAGGAACAGAUAAACAGCAGCUCAACCUUCCCAUAUCAUAUCCGUUAACAACUUAGAUUUCAGAUCAAGUUUUCAUCCCACAAGUUUAGAUCUAAUGCAAACUUUAAAUUAUAACAGUUAUGUCUAAACUUGAGAGAGAACUUUAAAUUUGCAAAUUAGGCAGAGCAACUAUUCAUCAUAUCCAUACUAGAGUUUUAUUAUUAAGAUUCAGAUUAGCAUAGCCACUUUAUUUAUUUAUUAAACACACUAAGCAAAAGAUAUAUAUAUAUAUAUAUAUAUAAGCACAAAAUCUUUAUUUGGUUUUUCGUAGUUUAUGUAUUUUAAUAUUCUAACAUAAUAUAAGUAUAAAGAUAGGUAGAAAUACUUAGCGAGAUAAAUGGGGGUGCUCUCCCCCAAGCUGAAUUUUGACGUAAUUUCUCUUGAUGUAGCUAGCAGGUGGCAGAGGUGUAUUUGAAAGUCAGCAGCAUUCUGACAGCGAUUAGAAUGUCCUCCGUCUGCUAGUCUUCUUGGUUCUUAAAUUCUGUGGAGCUCAAAUAGACAACAAAGCUUGUGGAACUGAUUAAGUGUUAGCAUAAAUAUCUAGCCUUUAUCAUGUUGAGACUCCUUAACAAUUAUUACUCUCUAUUUUUUUUAUAUUUUUGUUUUAUAAAGCACAAAAGAAAUAUUUAUUUUGUUUUUAUGCCACCACAGUGAAUGUACUUAUGGGUUUCAUGCCAUGAGCAUAGUCACAUGGGGCUUACUAUUUUUAACAUUUUUAUUUUUUUUUUCAAGAUAGCAUGACUAACUAACAAGCCAUUUAAGGAAAAAUGCAGAAAGGAUAAAUAUGGAUAAUUACCGAUUUUACCUUUCGGCGAGGGUUCAAUGAUUUAAGUCUUCUUAACAAGACUUCUCACCGUGUUCAUUCUUCAGGUGUGUCAUUUGAUUCAAGUGCGGACCUUGACGUCUGCACCUCUUGAUACGGUGUCACCAAUGUUCUUCGUUUGCCCAGUAGUUCGAAGUGCGGCGUUGGUAGUGUACCUGCUCACAGAGACAAGACAGAGAUCAAGUGCAUGGGCCCUGUUGGUGGAAAACACCAACAGAACCAAAUGUGUAUUUGUUCUUCUCUAACCUUAAGCAUGGUGAGCAAGACAAAGUUGACGAAUGAUAAGUUCAUGAGUGUAGCACUUAUAACAUUUGUCAGAUCAGAUCGCUCAAUCUUAUGGAAAGAUAAUCUAUCUAUGUAUAUGUCUUUUUCUUUAUAUCACUUAAAGAUUGAAUGUGUAACAUUUUAGCUCAUAUGAUUAGGAGUGUGGGAUCAUGGCGGUAGUACUAAGAACAAGGGUUAAAGGACUAAACAUGUUGAAUCAGUUGGGUUGGUUAAUCUAGAGUUGUAAAUCAUACAUGUUUGUCUCUUUUAUUUAUAUGAAUGCCAGAACCAAGGAGAAGCUUAUAAAAGUGAUAGUCAAGUACCUUAAGAUGUUACCUUGCUUGAAGAGUGAUGGUACAGUAUCACCUUGUGGAAGCUUUCCUUUCUUAGUGGUUGUGCAUCGCGUUUGUGGCAACUUCCAUGGAUCAUCUCUCUAUGAUGAAUGAGCUAUGUCCUUCUUGUGCAAAUUGUUAAACUUCAUGUGUCACUCUCCUUGUCUCCAAUGUGAGUUUAUCUCAAGACUUCCCAGGUUGGUGUUGAAAGUUUUCCUGCAGGGGUUAGUCCGACAGAAUAUACCAAUAUCUACUCAAGCAGUUUUUGGUUCAGUAACCAAACUAGACUCCAUGUCUAAUCAGAUUAAGGAAGGCUAUUUAACCUAAGCACCAUGCUUAAUUUAAAUGCCAAUGGAAGUAUGACGAGUACUUCCAAACCAACACUUGCUAGUAAAUAGACAAAGGUAGCAUGACAACAUUUAUAGAGAUCUACCCAAGUGGAGAUGAAGUAGUGUGAUUAGUACUUAACAAACUGAGCAUGUCUCAAAGGUAGGGACAACCAACAUAGCAACAUGGCAAAGGAUGUUUUUAUGUAAAGUACUCCCCCAAGCUUGAAUUUUGCAAAAUUCUAGUUUGGAUGAAUUUAAUUCAAUGUUGUAUGAUGAUUGGUUGGACAUACCUUUUGCUUGUCAUUCAUCCGAUCUUCUUGCUCCAAUCCUAGAAAGGUUAGUGGCAAGAAUACCCGAAGGAAUAUUUUUACAAUUAUCCUUAUAUGCUCAAUACACAAGGUAAUGUUAAAAGCUCAUGUUACAAUCUGAUUAGUGCUUAUUUUAGGACACUAAGCUUGUCCUUGGGAAACCAUCAAUUUAGGUCGGCGAAGUGGUUUCCCUUCCAACGCUGACCUAUAUCAAGAUCAACUCAACGAGAUCUGCAAUAUUUAUUAU
Molecule: long non-coding RNA, 3373 nt
Filed under: Sorghum bicolor (sorghum)
Lineage: Eukaryota; Viridiplantae; Streptophyta; Magnoliopsida; Poales; Poaceae
Description: long non-coding RNA (SBIC_LNC017514)
Source: RNAcentral